CAGCCGCCGCGGGAAUACGAAGGGGGCUAGCGUUGCUCGGAAUGACUGGGCGUAAAGGGCGCGUAGGCGGCGAUCAAAGUCAGGCGUGAAAUUCCUGGGCUCAACCUGGGGGCUGCGCUUGAUACUUGGUUGCUUGAGUGGGGAAGAGGGUCGUGGAAUUCCCAGUGUAGAGGUGAAAUUCGUAGAUAUUCGGAAGAACACCAGUGGCGAAGGCGGCUCACUGGACGACUGUUGACGCUGAGGUGCGAAAGCGUGGGGAGCAAACAGGAUUAGAUACCCGUGUAGUCCCUGUCUCUUAUAC
Molecule: ribosomal RNA, 301 nt
Filed under: uncultured bacterium
Lineage: Bacteria
Description: partial 16S ribosomal RNA
Rfam family: Bacterial small subunit ribosomal RNA
Source: RNAcentral